AUUGAACGCUGGCGGCAUGCCUUACACAUGCAAGUCGAACGGUAACAGCACUUCGGUGGCUGACGAGUGGCGAACGGGUGAGUAAUACAUCGGAACGUGCCCGAGAGUGGGGGAUAACGCAGCGAAAGCUGUGCUAAUACCGCAUACGAUCUACGGAUGAAAGCAGGGGACCGCAAGGCCUUGCGCUCAUGGAGCGGCCGAUGGCAGAUUAGGUAGUUGGUGGGAUAAAAGCUUACCAAGCCGACGAUCUGUAGCUGGUCUGAGAGGACGACCAGCCACACUGGGACUGAGACACGGCCCAGACUCCUACGGGAGGCAGCAGUGGGGAAUUUUGGACAAUGGGCGAAAGCCUGAUCCAGCCAUGCCGCGUGCAGGAUGAAGGCCUUCGGGUUGUAAACUGCUUUUGUACGGAACGAAAAGCUCUCUCUAAUACAGGGGUGAAUGACGGUACCGUAAGAAUAAGCACCGGCUAACUACGUGCC
RNAcentral lists this ribosomal RNA (482 nucleotides) under uncultured bacterium. Its description in RNAcentral is "bacterial SSU rRNA". It matches the Rfam family "Bacterial small subunit ribosomal RNA", at positions 30 to 509 of the family's 1533-position model. The record is from RNAcentral.